AAACACAACAACAAUGAAAAAACAACAAAAACCAGCACAAAAUCAUCGACCAGCUUCCCUGGUGCUUGGACCCUAUGAUGCUCAUUCACAUGCACAUUCUUGGCUUUUAUCUCAGUGAGGGGAAAUUAAUGUCUGUUGUUCCAGGUUUUUUUUUUAAAUAGU
Molecule: long non-coding RNA, 162 nt
Organism: Thalassophryne amazonica
Lineage: Eukaryota; Metazoa; Chordata; Actinopteri; Batrachoidiformes; Batrachoididae
Exons: 3
Source: RefSeq, a predicted model, not a curated record